GUGCCAGCAGCCGCGGUAAUACGGAGGGGGCCAGCGUUGUUCGGAAUCAUUGGGCGUAAAGGGCGCGUAGGCGGCCGCGUAAGUCCGUUGUGAAAUCCCUCGGCUCAACCGAGGAACUGCGACGGAUACUGCAUGGCUUGAGUCCCGGAGAGGGUGGUGGAAUUCCCAGUGUAGCGGUGAAAUGCGUAGAUAUUGGGAGGAACAUCGGUGGCGAAGGCGGCCACCUGGACGGGUACUGACGCUGAGGCGCGAAAGCCAGGGGAGCAAACAGGAUUAGAUACCCUCGUAGUCC
RNAcentral lists this ribosomal RNA (292 nucleotides) under uncultured bacterium. RNAcentral describes it as "partial 16S ribosomal RNA". It matches the Rfam family "Bacterial small subunit ribosomal RNA", at positions 505 to 796 of the family's 1533-position model. The record is from RNAcentral.